AGCAGCAUAGUGCAAUGGUGUCA
This 23-nucleotide microRNA is filed under the name Branchiostoma floridae (Florida lancelet). RNAcentral describes it as "bfl-miR-2013". The record is from miRBase by way of RNAcentral. Lineage: Eukaryota; Metazoa; Chordata; Leptocardii; Amphioxiformes; Branchiostomatidae. RNAcentral also lists the same sequence under 2 other names.